GGAAAGGAAGUUCUAAGAACAUUUCGAUUACUCCGAAAAGGUAAAAAAUUUCUU
RNAcentral lists this transfer RNA (54 nucleotides) under Mastigoproctus giganteus (giant whipscorpion). Its description in RNAcentral is "tRNA-Val". Lineage: Eukaryota; Metazoa; Arthropoda; Arachnida; Uropygi; Thelyphonidae. The record is from RNAcentral.